GUAAGUGUGUGUGUGUGUGUGUGUGUGUGUGAUGAUAGAUUUGGAGGGCACCAUAUGCUGUGCGAACAUAUUUUGUUGUUUUUGUCACUUCCUCUCUGCAGGAUAACAGUUCUUUUUUGUUGAGGUUGUAAAGGAGUAACACCUAAUGCUAAGGUGUGUGGUGAAUGUGGAAAGGUGUGAGGGUUUCAUUUAGGCAGUUUUUUUGAUCAAUUUUGUGUAUGAUGUGUUUGUUCUGGUGAAAGUUGUUUGCUCUGGCUUAAGCCUUUUGUGUCGCUGUGACAAUCUUGCAAGAGGUGCAAAGGCUUGUUCUCACCUUCGCAGCGAUGUAUCUGGCGGCACAAAUCGUGAGUGAAAUCAUGAUUUUAGUUUGUGAGAAAACAUGUUGGUGUCGGCAGGGAAGCAGGAUGUGUGUCAAGGACCUCGAAGAGUUCAUGAAUAUGCAAAUGUCAUAGUAUCAAAGCAAUGCUCAAUUGUUAAUGACAAAUCUCAGGAUUUUGUGACACAGCUCGAUUUUUCAACUUGACUUCUAGUUGAUGUUCAGUUACCUGUAAAUGGUCCACGUGGAGAGCUCCACAAAGCAGCGUAGCGUUUGACCACACCAUGUGCGGCCCCUUAGGAAUGCAAGCAUCUUGGAGUGCAAGCCGCAACAGGUUUAACCCACAUCGCCCUGUCAUCUGUGUCCCUGUCACAGGAGAACAAAGAGGGAUGACGAAAGCAACAACGGACAUUGAUGCAUCGUUAAGAAAUGCAAUUAAGAAUGUUUCAUUUCUGUUUUUUUUUUUUAUUUUUUUUUAAAAAUCUGAUGUAAGGACAUAAAUCGGAGUGUGCAUUUCAGCUAGCAUUAAAGAUCAUCCGUCACAUUUGUUUAGUCACAGAAAGUGCUGUGCAUGCAGAUCUGAGCACAAGCUUUGGUGUAAUUUAAUCAUUUUGAGCUCUUAAUUACACACCCAUACUGAUCUGAUGGAACCCCAUGUCACUGUGUGCAUUAUUUGUUAUUGAAAUGGCUCGAGUACAUUGAGCUCAGCAGCAGCAGGUCAGCGAGCUUUAAUUACAGUAUGAAUUAUUAUGAGUAUUAUUUAUUAGAUUGCCAAUGUGAGCACAGAUGUACCAUGAUAAACACCUAGUAUAUGCCGUAUUGCUGGUACAUCUGGUACCUCUGGUACAUCUACCAUACACAGUGCCCUCCCCUGAUAUUGGCACCUUAUAAGCAAAGAAGGCUGUGACAAAUUGUCUUUAUUGUUUAACCUUUUAUUUUAAAAAAAUUCCCAAAAUUCUCUGCUCUCAUGGAUAUCAGACAAUUGCAAACAAAAAAACAGGUUAUUUAAAAAAAAAAAAAAUCUUUGUUAAAUAUAGGUGUGCAACAAUUAUUGGCACUCUUUUAGUCAGUACUUUGUGCUAUGUCCAUUUGCCAAGAUAACAGCUCUGAGUCUUCUCCUAUAAUGCCUGGUGAGGUUGGAGAAUACAUGGCAAGAGAUCUGAGACCGUUCCUCCAUACAGAAUCUCUCCAGAUCCUUCACAUUUCGAGGUGACACUGGAGUACUCUCCUCUUCAGUUCACCCCAUGGGUUUUCUAUGGGUUUCAAGUCAGGGGACUGGGAUGGCCAUGGCAGGAUCUUGAUUUUCUGGAAAUGGUACUUUUAUCCAAAGAGUCGGAUCAUUUUUGUUUGUAAAACCAGGCAAAAUAGCAUUGGGUUAUUCCAACAUAACUGCCUUCCUGACAUUCUCUUGAAAUUCAGACAACAGUGUGUGUGUGUGUGAGUGUGACCUGUACACCUGUGGAGGCCUCACCCUCCGGAUCAAACAAAGGCCUGUAGACUGUGCAGUCACUCAUGGGCAUGUUGCUCAAAGUCCACACACACACACACAUACACACACACACACACACACACACACACACACACACACACACACACACACACCUACCCAUACACAUAUACACCGACAGGUUAGUCGGGGAAGCUCAGGGCAGAGAGGUGCGGCCUUCGGAUUAGUCAAAGUGACACGGGUGCUGGACGGUCUCAGCUCUGCUGAGCUUGCUGUCUCUGUGCCGGUGUUGAGAUGUGGCCCAGAAAAGACAAAGGGCACCUGGGAAAGUUUGGUUUGGGGCUAUCUCCAUUCUCACAUUCUCACAUUACAUUAUGUAAUUAGUCUGUGUGGUCACCAAAUGGUGUUGUAUGAACUGUGCAGCUUUCAACGGACGGUGUAUGAGUGUGUGUCUGUGUGUGUGUGUGUGUGUGUGUGUGUACGGGUUUGGAGGGUGUUGAUGGGGAAGUAGGGGUGGUGCCGGUCCCAGGAUGCUCACCUGUAAUUCUCCCUCCCCUGACGAGAGCCAGUGAAAGGAAUUUACCUAAACUGGAGAGAGACAUGUUAGUGUAGCUGGAGCUGGAAGAAGGAGUGGAUCUGGUGCAGCAGCAUUGUUGGCAUUCAAAGUCACUGCUGUGUUGAAGAACAGUCCACCAAACAAAAACCAGUGGUGUUGCGGUUGCAAACUGACACUGAUGAAGCCCUAGAGGACAAUUAACACACACUGUGCAUGGUUUGUCUAAUAGAGUGGGCAGUAAGAACCAGAAGGUCACUCUGAUGGAACUACAGAGGUCCUGCACAAGUGGACAAAUCCUAAAUUUUCUAGCGAUGCCAGAGAAAAAAUGAAAGCUCCAGUGUGCACAGAAAUGGACUAAUCUAAAGAGUGGUAGCUAAGGGUCACAGGGAGCCUGGAGCCUAUCCCAGUGGACUUGGGGCACAAGGCAGGGGGACACCCUGGAUGUCAGGUGUGUCAGGAUGUCAGGUGCCAACCCAUUGUAGGGCACAAUCUCACACACACUACAGACAAUUUGGAAAUCAAUCUUUGGACUGGCGGAGGAAACCCGAGUACUCAGAGAAAACCCCCAAUGCACAAGGAGAACAUGCAAAGUCUGCGCACACAGGGCGGAGGUGGGAUUCGAACCCCAAUCCUGAAGGUGCGAGGCAAAUGUGCUAACCACUAAGCCAUGAUUAUUAUCCAUUUAAGUUUCUAAAGUAGCACAUUGUAUGUGUACUGUACCGUUAAUAAACAGUCAACUAAUCUUUUGCGAAUGUUCUGUGGCUCCAUACAAGUUUGAACUCUUUAGCAUGAAUGCCAAGUGCUACAUCAACAGAUCAUAACACAUAGGCAUCUUUGUAGAAAAAAAAAGUGAUCAGAACCUCACACAUGGUCGAAAGUUAACCUUUAGACAACAGAAACACACAGAGAAGACACGACUAUGAUCAUCCUUGAGUGGUCUAGACGGAGCUUGGUUUUUACCCAGUUGAAUGUUUCUGGAAAGACCUGGAGGUUCCUCUAAACAGACUGGAGGAAUAUCCUUGAAUUCAGGUGUGCCAAGCUCAUAGCAUCAGACUCAAAAAGACUGUAAUUACUGCCAAUACUGCUUUAACAAUGCAUUGAGUAAAGGGUCUGAAUAUUUGUUUCAAAUAUAUCUUUCACAGAUUCAGAAGGAAAAAAAAUGAAUGCAGUACAUUUCAGAGAAAAGAGUAAUGUAGGUGGAUACACCGUGCAUGUGUGUACAGUACCCUACAGCUGCAGAAGCACUUAACUUGCACUGCUGAUGAAGGACUUUUGUCUGAAACAUCUUGAUUCUCUGGUAACCUUGAGUACUUCAUUGAACUUUUACUACUUAUACCAUGUACUAACAAGGCUAUUUAAGGUCUUUGCUAUGGCUCUGUUGCUUUUCCUACUUGAGUUGUAUUUAGUAAUGUUGACCCUGAGUGUCUCAACAUGUUUUCCUGAUAAAUUAUUUUUUUUUUAAACAAAAUGUCUUUAUUUAUGCUAAUGAAUGCACACUGUUUUGUUCAUAUUCAUAAAUACGAGUGUGUGUAAAUCUGAAGUGGAUAUAUGCACUGG
Long non-coding RNA from Ictalurus punctatus (channel catfish), 3876 nucleotides. NCBI's taxonomy places the organism in Eukaryota, Metazoa, Chordata, Actinopteri, Siluriformes, Ictaluridae. The record is from Ensembl.